UAAGUAACUUAUUUGUCCCUUUUCUGUUAUCAGCGUGCCAGUACCACCAGGCCGAAACAUACCCCAUUGCUGGGGUUUUGAAAGAAAGAACAAGGAGGGGAGUGUUCCAAAGACUUCUGAAAUGGGAACCAUGCCCAGAAUGCGGGAAGGAUUUCGCUCCAACCUGGCAGACAGUUUAAGUGACCUCAAAGCUCCCCAGCACUCGCCAUGAAGGGAGGCACCAUGACGCUGGCCUGAUUAUCAUCGACAUUCAAAUCUAUUUCCAGAAUUCAUGCUGCCCUUUCACUAAUGUUACCUUUUUCAUGAGUACACAACCACCAUCAAAUUCUAAGUAUUCAUUAUGACUGGAAAAAUUGCACUUUUCAUACAUGAAAAAGGGAUCUUCAACAUAGUCCGCCAUUUUGAAUUUCCAAAAAUAGCCACUUUCAGCUGCAAAAAUGACUGCACUCGGACCAUACUAGAAAAUAUUUGUUUAUUACUUAGUACACUUUCAUGUAAAGACCAAAUUUGGCAAUAUGCAGCCCAGUUUCAAUGAGCAGCAUAGUUGCAGUACCUUUUUUGACCAUUUCCUGCACAGUGUCCCUUUAACAUUUACCAAGUACUUUACUCCAGACCUGAUUCACAAGGAGGGCUCAGUCUGGCUACCGUGAGGCACAUUUUAGUUGUUUUUGUGUUGAUUUCUUUUGUUUUUAUUACUAUCAUUAUAGUGUUAUUAUUAUUAUUAUUCAAAGCUUAUUUGUUUUUUUGUGUGUGAUUUUUUUAAACAAUGCACCUGCCCCCCAAAAUCUGUGCACGCGCAUGUGUGUGUGUGUGUGUGUGUGUGUGUGUGUGUGUGUGUGUGUGUGUGUGUGUGUGUAAGGCACAUUUUAGUUGUUUUUGUGUUGAUUUCUUUUGUUUUUAUUACUAUCAUUAUAGUGUUAUUAUUAUUAUUAUUCAAAGCUUAUUUGUUUUUUUGUGUGUGUUUUUUUUAAACAAUGCACCUGCCCCCCAAAAUCUGUGCACGCGCAUGUGUGUGUGUGUGUGUGUGUGUGUGUGUGUGUGUGUGUGUGUGUGUAAGGCACAUUUUAGUUGUUUUUGUGUUGAUUUCUUUUGUUUUUAUUACUAUCAUUAUAGUGUUAUUAUUAUUAUUAUUCAAAGCUUAUUUGUUUUUUUUGUGUGUGUUUUUUUUAAACAAUGCACCUGCCCCCCAAAAUCUGUGCACGCGCAUGUGUGUGUGUGUGUGUGUGUGUGUGUGUGUGUAAAUAAAUACUGUAAAUAAAUACUUGAAAUCGUGUGAGUUUCUUCUAUAAUAUCAGUGGUAAAUGCACAUUAAAUGUUAGUGUAUACCGUGUCUGUAAUAAUCCUGGUCAAUUCUUCUGGAUGGAGAUGUAGUGAGGUAUCAAACCUACCUAUACAAUAAUAGUCCCAUUGAAAAUACCGCCCAUUGAAAAUGAAUGGGAGCUCUUGCACCAUUCUAGAGUGCCUUAUAAUAAUACAGUAAGAGUAGUGUUAAGAGAGACCAUUUAAUCAACACUUUGUGACACACACACUUUGAAAACCACUGGGCAAGGUGGUGACUAGGCCUACAUCAGCAUCUUUCAGAGAAAAGGUGAGUAGGAGUGGUGCAUCAGCAUCAGUAGCAUCAGCGUCUGGGACCCACCGCCCUGACGCAGUAGGCUACAUAUGCAUGUGGAUACGGAUACGGGCAGGAGUGUAAAUUCAAAGAUAGCCUACGGGCAGGAGUGUAGCCUAAUCACCAGCGGUGUUUUAAAUCGGUGGGCGGCUUCAUGUCACUCCCCGUGUCAUUUUAAACAGAAGGUGGAAAUCAGGAAGAUGCGCUGCCAUUCAUCAGCUGCCAAAACACGUUUUAGUUGUAGACUACAUGCAUGCAUAUCGUAAAUCAACCACGUAGUUUUCAAAUGCCAACGCAUUCAUAUCGUAAAUCCACCACGAGACUCAAAUCUUAAAUCAACCACGAAACACGGGCAAUAAUAAAAUGUUUUCGCUUUUCAUUGCACCUAACUCCUCACUCCGAUAUUUUCAUUGCACCUACCUCCGCAUUCCAAUAAAGAAGGCACGAGGGGCUACUUAUUUAUUCAAUCGUUAUUUUAUUUUAUUUUUACUGGGAAGGAGUAGGCCUACGGGCAUGA
Engraulis encrasicolus (European anchovy) is the source of this 2129-nucleotide long non-coding RNA. RefSeq lists it as uncharacterized. The record is from RefSeq and is a predicted model, not a curated record. The transcript is spliced from 4 exons. NCBI's taxonomy places the organism in Eukaryota, Metazoa, Chordata, Actinopteri, Clupeiformes, Engraulidae.